CAAAAGACAUCAUCACUUGGUUCCAAACACUCACAAGGUGCACACACACAAAUGAUACUUACACGCACAUACAUCACACAACCUAAACAUGCAUCCACUACUUGCUAGCAAAUAAUAAUAGCAACAACCUAAUGUAGAGAGGAAAUUAAAACAGAACACAAGGUGGCCUAGCAAGCUGCAUCUACAAGCUAGAAAGCAC
This 199-nucleotide long non-coding RNA is filed under the name Hordeum vulgare. RNAcentral's name for it is "long non-coding RNA (HVUL_LNC015553)". The record is from RNAcentral. Lineage: Eukaryota; Viridiplantae; Streptophyta; Magnoliopsida; Poales; Poaceae.